RNAcentral lists this ribosomal RNA (810 nucleotides) under human gut metagenome. RNAcentral's name for it is "bacterial SSU rRNA". It matches the Rfam family "Bacterial small subunit ribosomal RNA", at positions 542 to 1357 of the family's 1533-position model. The record is from RNAcentral.
UAUCCGGAUUUAUUGGGUUUAAAGGGUGCGUAGGCGGUUUGAUAAGUUAGAGGUGAAAUUUCGGGGCUCAACCCUGAACGUGCCUCUAAUACUGUUGAGCUAGAGAGUAGUUGCGGUAGGCGGAAUGUAUGGUGUAGCGGUGAAAUGCUUAGAGAUCAUACAGAACACCGAUUGCGAAGGCAGCUUACCAAACUAUAUCUGACGUUGAGGCACGAAAGCGUGGGGAGCAAACAGGAUUAGAUACCCUGGUAGUCCACGCAGUAAACGAUGAUAACUCGUUGUCGGCGAUACACAGUCGGUGACUAAGCGAAAGCGAUAAGUUAUCCACCUGGGGAGUACGUUCGCAAGAAUGAAACUCAAAGGAAUUGACGGGGGCCCGCACAAGCGGAGGAACAUGUGGUUUAAUUCGAUGAUACGCGAGGAACCUUACCCGGGCUUGAAAGUUAGCGACGAUUCUUGAAAGAGGAUUUCCCUUCGGGGCGCGAAACUAGGUGCUGCAUGGUUGUCGUCAGCUCGUGCCGUGAGGUGUCGGGUUAAGUCCCAUAACGAGCGCAACCCCUACCGUUAGUUGCCAUCAGGUGAAGCUGGGCACUCUGGCGGGACUGCCGGUGUAAGCCGAGAGGAAGGUGGGGAUGACGUCAAAUCAGCACGGCCCUUACGUCCGGGGCUACACACGUGUUACAAUGGUAGGUACAGAGGGCAGCUACCCAGCGAUGGGAUGCGAAUCUCGAAAGCCUAUCUCAGUUCGGAUUGGAGGCUGAAACCCGCCUCCAUGAAGUUGGAUUCGCUAGUAAUCGCGCAUCAGCCAUG